UCUGUUCAGCCUUAUGUAUGGAGUUGAGGAUUCGUCAAUUGCAGGGAUGAUUUUAGAUAGUCCAUUCUCUGAUUUGGUUGAUUUGAUGAUGGAACUUGUAGAUACAUAUAAAGUUCGUCUUCCAAAGUUCACUGUAAAGUUUGCAAUCCAAUACAUGCGAAGAGCAAUUCAAAAG
This is a non-coding RNA of Arachis ipaensis, 175 nucleotides long. The record is from RefSeq and is a predicted model, not a curated record. Lineage: Eukaryota; Viridiplantae; Streptophyta; Magnoliopsida; Fabales; Fabaceae.